GGGCGCGUUGUCUAGUCUGGAUAGGGCGCCAGCCUUCGAAGUUGGAUGUCGCAGGUUCGAAUCCUGCCGCGCCCGCCA
Molecule: transfer RNA, 78 nt
Filed under: Candidatus Thorarchaeota archaeon
Lineage: Archaea; Promethearchaeati; Candidatus Thorarchaeota
Description: tRNA-Arg
Rfam family: tRNA
About the family: Transfer RNA (tRNA) molecules are approximately 80 nucleotides in length. Their secondary structure includes four short double-helical elements and three loops (D, anti-codon, and T loops).
Source: RNAcentral